UACGGGGGGAGCAAGCGUUGUUCGGAUUUACUGGGCGUAAAGGGCGCGUAGGCGGCACCGCAAGUCGACUGUGAAAUCUCCGGGCUUAACCCGGAAAGGUCAGCCGAUACUGCGGGGCUAGAGUGCAGAAGAGGCGACUGGAAUUCUCGGUGUAGCGGUGAAAUGCGUAGAUAUCGAGAGGAACACCUGCGGCGAAGGCGGGUUGCUGGGCUGACACUGACGCUGAUGCGCGAAAGCUAGGGGAGCGAACGGG
This 253-nucleotide ribosomal RNA is filed under the name uncultured bacterium. RNAcentral's name for it is "partial 16S ribosomal RNA". It matches the Rfam family "Bacterial small subunit ribosomal RNA", at positions 524 to 776 of the family's 1533-position model. The record is from RNAcentral.